GUGUCAGCCGCCGCGGUAAUACGGGGGGGGCAAGCGUUGUUCGGAAUUACUGGGCGUAAAGGGCGCGUAGGCGGCUCGCUAAGUCGGGUGUGAAAACUCUGGGCUCAACCCAGAGCCUGCACUCGAAACUGACGAGCUAGAGUUCUGGAGGGGAAAGCGGAAUUCCUGGUGUAGCGGUGAAAUGCGUAGAUAUCAGGAGGAACACCGGUGGCGAAGGCGGCUUUCUGGACAGAAACUGACGCUGAGGCGCGAAAGCUAGGGGAGCAAACAGGAUUAGAAACCCGCGUAGUCC
Molecule: ribosomal RNA, 292 nt
Filed under: uncultured bacterium
Lineage: Bacteria
Description: partial 16S ribosomal RNA
Rfam family: Bacterial small subunit ribosomal RNA
Source: RNAcentral